This 1395-nucleotide ribosomal RNA is filed under the name uncultured bacterium. RNAcentral describes it as "bacterial SSU rRNA". It matches the Rfam family "Bacterial small subunit ribosomal RNA". The record is from RNAcentral.
AGAGUUUGAUCAUGGCUCAGAUUGAACGCUGGCGGCAGGCCCAACACAUGCAAGUCGAGCGGUAGAGAGAAGCUUGCUUCUCUUGAGAGCGGCGGACGGGUGAGUAAUGCCUAGGAAUCUGCCUGGUAGUGGGGGAUAACGUUCGGAAACGGACGCUAAUACCGCAUACGUCCUACGGGAGAAAGCAGGGGACCUUCGGGCCUUGCGCUAUCAGAUGAGCCUAGGUCGGAUUAGCUAGUUGGUGGGGUAAUGGCUCACCAAGGCGACGAUCCGUAACUGGUCUGAGAGGAUGAUCAGUCACACUGGAACUGAGACACGGUCCAGACUCCUACGGGAGGCAGCAGUGGGGAAUAUUGGACAAUGGGCGAAAGCCUGAUCCAGCCAUGCCGCGUGUGUGAAGAAGGUCUUCGGAUUGUAAAGCACUUUAAGUUGGGAGGAAGGGUUGUAGAUUAAUACUCUGCAAUUUUGACGUUACCGACAGAAUAAGCACCGGCUAACUCUGUGCCAGCAGCCGCGGUAAUACAGAGGGUGCAAGCGUUAAUCGGAAUUACUGGGCGUAAAGCGCGCGUAGGUGGUUAGUUAAGUUGGAUGUGAAAUCCCCGGGCUCAACCUGGGAACUGCAUUCAAAACUGACUGACUAGAGUAUGGUAGAGGGUGGUGGAAUUUCCUGUGUAGCGGUGAAAUGCGUAGAUAUAGGAAGGAACACCAGUGGCGAAGGCGACCACCUGGACUGAUACUGACACUGAGGUGCGAAAGCGUGGGGAGCGAACAGGAUUAGAUACCCUGGUAGUCCACGCCGUAAACGAUGUCAACUAGCCGUUGGGAGCCUUGAGCUCUUAGUGGCGCAGCUAACGCAUUAAGUUGACCGCCUGGGGAGUACGGCCGCAAGGUUAAAACUCAAAUGAAUUGACGGGGGCCCGCACAAGCGGUGGAGCAUGUGGUUUAAUUCGAAGCAACGCGAAGAACCUUACCAGGCCUUGACAUCCAAUGAACCUUCUAGAGAUAGAUGGGUGCCUUCGGGAACAUUGAGACAGGUGCUGCAUGGCUGUCGUCAGCUCGUGUCGUGAGAUGUUGGGUUAAGUCCCGUAACGAGCGCAACCCUUGUCCUUAGUUACCAGCACGUUAUGGUGGGCACUCUAAGGAGACUGCCGGUGACAAACCGGAGGAAGGUGGGGAUGACGUCAAGUCAUCAUGGCCCUUACGGCCUGGGCUACACACGUGCUACAAUGGUCGGUACAGAGGGUUGCCAAGCCGCGAGGUGGAGCUAAUCCCAUAAAACCGAUCGUAGUCCGGAUCGCAGUCUGCAACUCGACUGCGUGAAGUCGGAAUCGCUAGUAAUCGCGAAUCAGAAUGUCGCGGUGAAUACGUUCCCGGGCCUUGUACACACCGCCCGUC